Molecule: ribosomal RNA, 482 nt
Filed under: uncultured bacterium
Lineage: Bacteria
Description: partial 16S ribosomal RNA
Rfam family: Bacterial small subunit ribosomal RNA
Source: RNAcentral
AUUGAACGCUGGCGGCAUGCCUUACACAUGCAAGUCGAACGGUAACGGGCCUUCGGGUGCCGACGAGUGGCGAACGGGUGAGUAAUACAUCGGAACGUGCCCGAUCGUGGGGGAUAACGAGGCGAAAGCUUUGCUAAUACCGCAUACGAUCUACGGUUGAAAGCAGGGGGCCGCAAGGCCUUGCGCGGACGGAGCGGCCGAUGGCAGAUUAGGUAGUUGGUGGGAUAAAAGCUUACCAAGCCGACGAUCUGUAGCUGGUCUGAGAGGAUGAUCAGCCACACUGGGACUGAGACACGGCCCAGACUCCUACGGGAGGCAGCAGUGGGGAAUUUUGGACAAUGGGCGCAAGCCUGAUCCAGCCAUGCCGCGUGCAGGAUGAAGGCCUUCGGGUUGUAAACUGCUUUUGUACGGAACGAAAAGCCUUCUUUUAAUACAGGAGGGUCAUGACGGUACCGUAAGAAUAAGCACCGGCUAACUACGUG